GACGAACGCUGGCGGCGUGCUUAACACAUGCCAGUCGAACGGAAAGGCCCUGCUUUUGUGGGGUGCUCGAGUGGCGAACGGGUGAGUAACACGUGAGUAACCUGCCCUUGACUUUGGGAUAACUUCAGGAAACUGGGGCUAAUACCGGAUAGGAGCUCCUGCUGCAUGGUGGGGGUUGGAAAGUUUCGGCGGUUGGGGAUGGACUCGCGGCUUAUCAGCUUGUUGGUGGGGUAGUGGCUUACCAAGGCUUUGACGGGUAGCCGGCCUGAGAGGGUGACCGGCCACAUUGGGACUGAGAUACGGACCAGACUCCUACGGGAGGCAGCAGUGGGGAAUAUUGCACAAUGGGCGGAAGCCUGAUGCAGCAACGCCGCGUGCGGGAUGACGGCCUUCGGGUUGUAAACCGCUUUCGCAUGUGACGAAGCGUGAGUGACGGUAAUGGGUAAAGAAGCACCGGCUAACUACGUG
RNAcentral lists this ribosomal RNA (468 nucleotides) under uncultured bacterium. RNAcentral describes it as "partial 16S ribosomal RNA". It matches the Rfam family "Bacterial small subunit ribosomal RNA", at positions 28 to 507 of the family's 1533-position model. The record is from RNAcentral.